RNAcentral lists this ribosomal RNA (305 nucleotides) under uncultured bacterium. RNAcentral describes it as "bacterial SSU rRNA". It matches the Rfam family "Bacterial small subunit ribosomal RNA", at positions 337 to 635 of the family's 1533-position model. The record is from RNAcentral.
UCCUACGGGGCGCAGCAGUAGGGAAUUUUCGUCAAUGGGCGCAAGCCUGAACGAGCAAUGCCGCGUGAACGAGGAAGGUCUUCGGAUCGUAAAGUUCUGUUGAAGGGGAAAAAGAGCGGAGAGAGGAAAUGGUCUCCGAUUGAUAUUACCCUUGGAGGAAGUCACGGCUAACUACGUGCCAGCAGCCGCGGUAAUACGUAGGUGGCGAGCGUUAUCCGGAAUGAUUGGGCGUAAAGGGUGCGUAGGCGGCCUGCUAAGUCUGGAGUGAAAGGUACCGGCCCAACCGGUACAGGCUCUGGAAACUG